UAGGGAAUCUUCCACAAUGGACGCAAGUCUGAUGGAGCAACGCCGCGUGAGUGAAGAAGGUCUUCGGAUCGUAAAACUCUGUUGUUAGAGAAGAACACGAGUGAGAGUAACUGUUCAUUCGAUGACGGUACCUAACCAGCAAGUCACGGCUAACUACGUGCCAG
RNAcentral lists this ribosomal RNA (164 nucleotides) under uncultured bacterium. RNAcentral's name for it is "partial 16S rRNA". It matches the Rfam family "Bacterial small subunit ribosomal RNA", at positions 355 to 511 of the family's 1533-position model. The record is from RNAcentral.